GGGAUCAAAACACACCACCAAAGUCAACAUCAACUAUAACUUUGAUGAGCAGAAGAUUGAAAAAAACUCUGAAGAAAGAUCCACCUAAUUGACACAGUUGACAAAAGUAAGCAAAGAAAGAACAAAGAAAAAACUAUUAUGAACUAACUACAAAGACUUAGACCUGAAGACAAAAACACAGAUGGAAAAAAAGGAAAAAAAACAAAAGAAAGAUUGGCAACAGAAGAGAAGAUGAAAAUUGACACAAGCCAAAAAAAAAGUGCAUGUGCAGAGACACUAGAGAAAUCAGAAAGAGAAGACAAAGUAUAGGAAAAUUUCAUCAAGACCAACACAAACUUUGCCCUAAAAUAAUUGAAUACAUCAUAUCAACAGCUUCGCAUAGGCAGUUAUAGAAACGAAUCAGUACUGAUGGAAGUGUGCUAGAAAUUGAUGGGUGCGGAAGUAGAAACAAAGUUGAGACACCC
RNAcentral lists this long non-coding RNA (464 nucleotides) under Mytilus galloprovincialis (Mediterranean mussel). The record is from RNAcentral. Lineage: Eukaryota; Metazoa; Mollusca; Bivalvia; Mytilida; Mytilidae.